Molecule: RNA transcript, 6453 nt
Organism: Neodiprion virginianus
Lineage: Eukaryota; Metazoa; Arthropoda; Insecta; Hymenoptera; Diprionidae
Gene: jef
Gene name: major facilitator superfamily domain-containing protein 6
Exons: 11
Source: RefSeq, a predicted model, not a curated record
CCCUUUGAUCAGUGUCGGGGACGAAGUUCGCGGGGGUUGGUAAAAAGCGUCUAUAGCAAGAUUAAAGGGGUGGUGUAGACAGGUGUUGGAAGGAAGGAAGGAAGGAGAAGGAAGGAAAGGAGGAAGGAGGGUCGGUCGCAUACCGUCGCACGAAUGGCGUCUGCGCGACUGACGUCACCAUAUUGAUUUCCCUUUGGUACCGCGAGCGUAGAGUCGGAGCAUCGAUUUGGCACCUCUCGCUACCAGCUAAAGGGAUUGACAGAGAGGAGAGUCCAGUGAGCGAAACAGAGGUGAGAGGUGAGCAAGGUGUCCAGCGAAGCGGCUGGUUGUCCUCAGGAACUGGGAAACAGUGUGGUUGUUCAGCGAUGCAGAAUUAUGGCCACGAGGACUACGACUAUGAGACUGGGACUGGACACGACGGCGUUGCCCGCUCCCUUCCGUCGGUUCCUGGCCAGCCUGGAGGACUCGGAGUCCCCGCGGCCCCGGGGAUCAGACCCAUAGUCGACCCUCAGGCCCAGGGUGAGGUGGACCCGACGGUAUACCCCCAGCCGAAGGAGGCUACUCACAAGAUUCGUGGGAAGAGCGACAUCCUCGAGUACCUGUUCGGCUCCGUAGACCAGGAACUCCUCACCGUGAAAACGUUCUACUUCUUCUUCUACUCUGCGUUCGGUUCCCUGUUCCCGCUGAUGGGUGUAUACUUCAAGCAGAUGGGAAUGAACGCCGGUCAGUGUGGUCUUCUCAUCGGAUCCAGACCCUUCGUUGAGUUUCUCAGCGCUCCGUUUUGGGGCUCACUUGCCGACAGAUGGCAGAAGGGGAAGAUGAUUCUUCUCGCAUCGCUUUCCUGCUGGAUAAUCUUCACCCUUCCUCUGGGCUUCAUUGAACCACCGGCUAUAUCGUGCAUGGUUUUAGAAAACGAUGUGCCGAUGCUUAAGAACCCCGAGCGAGACACGCGGAUCGGGAAGCGUUCGGUCAGUAUGGAGAGCUACUACCGUCCCGACGACGACAUGACGGAUUUAGAGACGGCGGAUAACGUGGUUUUCGAAAGGAUUCGCCGAGAUGUUGGGGGCGCCGAAUACGACCAUCGUAAGUCUUCGAAGCGGGUCCGAGCGUCGAGCGAUCAUGUCAACAUGAGGCGAACCCUGAGUUACGAUUUAGAUAACAAUGAAGUUGAUGACGCUCGAAGUCCCUACGACCUGGAGGGUAACAGGGUGACGCGCGAGACACACCUCGACCCCGAAGACGGCGUUGCCGAGGAUCUGGAGUACAAGCAAUUCAUGGAAAGUGAGGAGAUCCCGGAUCCAUCCGUCCAAUCCGUCGAUUUGAAGAGCUUGGAACGGAGAAACAGACCAGCUGACGUUCUGGAAUACAAAAGGUUUUUAAAGAACGAGCCUUUGGACGAAAGCAGACCGCCGAAGAAGGCUUACACGAAGUCGAAGACGCACGUUAAACCUCCAAGAGAAAAGGUAAUGGUGAAGAGAAACAUAGUCAGUAGGGGUUCGGACAUCCUGCGGCAUCACAGGUAUAAGAAGUUGGGUAAACGGGAAACGAAUUCGAGACAAAUUGUCGCUUCGAAAAAUGACAUUUACGGUAUGAGCGUUAAGGGUCUGAGGAAAUUGAUGUUCGUCGAAGAUGUAGAAACGGAAACGUCUGGGGUUAGGAGUCGUCGUUCGGUAAAGGGGUAUCACGUCCCACAAUCAAGUGGCCGAAGUCCGUUUCCGGUCACUUACGCCGCAAACUACAACAAAAAAGAGGACGAGGAUUUGGUCAAGCCGAUGUUCAGUUCAAUCGUAUACAAAAUUUCGGAUAUCCAAAAGACGUUCUUCCUUCUGCUCCUCCUCGUCAUCGUCGGUGAGUUUUUCUCGGCACCUGCGAUCACCUUGGCUGACUCUGCGGUCAUCACUCUUCUCGGCGAGGACGCAGACAGGUACGGACACCAGCGUAUGUUCGGAAGUCUGGGAUGGGGCUUGGCCAUGUUCUUCGUCGGAAUCGCCCUUGAUCACAGCACCGCGUUUCCGGAUCAUCCCUGCGAGCCAGACGCCAGAGAAAAGAAUUACACCAUUUGCUUCGCCACGUUUAGCGUCCUUAUGGGUGCAGCAUUGAUCACCGCGACGCAGAUAAACUUCAAGUAUGAUUUUCCCGUUGCGGAACCGGAAGUGUCAAAACCUGCGGCCGAACCAACCCGGGAAGAACAACUUCAGAGUCAAUUGUCCCAGCAGCUGAAUUUACCGGGCCUUCAAGAUUCGUCGGGAAACCCUGACCCCAAGCCCCAACCACCGGAAGGCAAGACGAAAAUGUUCGCGCAAACAACGCGGGAAAUUCCCGAAUGGGUCACAGUCCUGAACCAGUUCAAGGACCUGAAGUGCGCGUCCUUUCUCUUCGUCGCAUGGUUCAUGGGAUUUGGAAUAGGGCUGAUAUUCACUUUCCUCUUCUGGCACCUGCAGGACUACGGAGGAAGUCCGACGCUCUUCGGAGUAGCCUCGGUGAUCAAUCACAUAUCCGAGAUCUUCGCCUACUUCUUCAGCUUCAAGUUAAUCCGACAAAUCGGGCACGUCAAGGUCCUCUGUCUGGGACUAGUCGGCAACAUACUGCGCUUCUUGUACAUUUCGUGGCUGAAGAAUCCUUGGUGGGUUCUCCCCUUCGAAUUCAUGCAGGGAAUCACCCACGCCGCAGUUUGGGCAGCCUGCUGCAGCUACAUCGCUCACAACACGCCACCCCAGCUGAGAUCAAGCGCUCAAGGUGUUCUCCAGGGUCUUCAUCACGGAUUGGGUCGAGGAUGCGGUGCCGUCAUCGGUGGAAUGUUUGUCGCCAGUUACGGCACCACAGCAACCUUCCGAGCCUAUGGCCUGGUCUGCAUAGGAGUCUUGGCCGCGUUUAUAUUCAUAAACUUUUACCGAAAGGACACGGGAUUCGUCUCGGAACUACCACAGACGGAAGACCCUCACCAAGUAGCCGAAGCAACGCAUUUGGCCCCGCACGGAGUUCCCAGCAACGCAAUUCCUCGGGCUUUGAGCUCGAGUCGACUUCACGAGCUGGCUAAUCAGGAACCGGGAUACGGUGCCACUUAUCAGACGUCAGGUGGAAACCUGGAUAUUCCCGGUGGUAACGGAGGGAACACUAAUCCUACGAAUCCAUUCCUGAACGGCGGAGGAGGCGGUGGAGGUGGAGGUGGAGGUGGAGGCGGUGGUUAUAAUUACGGAGUGGCCGGCAAAGGGGAAGAUGAAUUUAUUCGUAGGAGCUUCCAGGUCGAGCAUGGAAUAUCCCGUUAAUAUCGAUAUUAGACGUUCAUUAUGUUGUUUGCCCGAUAGUGUCGAAUGAUCAAAUCUUCGCGUCUCGCAGUGUCGCGUCCAGUCAAAUACGAUCUACAGUGAAGUGGUCGGGAGGGAAUACGACUUGGCAAAAAUACCGGAGACCUAUCUCCACGCCCAACAGCCCUGCACUAAUCCGUUUCACCAGCACGACUACGAGUGGUAACCCAAUUGAUUAUACCGAUGAGACAGGACGCGUCGCAGAAUUUAACCGUCUUGGUAUUUCUCACUCGAGUCUUAUAUAUGGUAUUAUACACAUUACAUUAUUGCAAUUUACGUUUAAAGAUAAUCGAUUGGAUCGCUUGUUUGGGAAACAACAAACGAACAACAUAUCUCGCUAUUGAUAUUACGUUUAAGUAGGUACACACCUUUGCAUGGCGUGAACAGAAAAAAAAAAAAACUUGCGUAUUCCGCUGUGAAAAUUAUUAUUUAUGUAUUACGUAUCGUCAACUGGUUAACUGACGAAUUAAAUUUUCUGCCAUUCAUGUAAAAAUAAGCAGGGAUCAAAUUCACGAAUUGGGAAUGGCUUAAGGGGAUAGUAGAUACCGCGAACGGGGUAAUCAAGUUUCGAUGUAAUCGGCUACAUCGAAGGGUUUUUCUAUUUGCUCAUUUUUAAAGACGAUUCAUAAAGUCGCGUCACGAACGUUACCCCAGAUUUAUGUCUAAUGAUAUUCGGUUGUACAUGAAAAAUAUUUCGCCAUGUGAAAAAAAAAUUACUCAACUAGUAAUCGGAACGUUUAUAAUUUGGAGAGCAAAAUUUUUACCAAUAUUUGACAAGAUUACGCUUCUAAAGAAGCACCCCAGUUCCUCGGAGACGUUAUACUCUUUUUCAAAGUGUAAAAAUACGGAACCUGUAAAGAUAUCACACAAGGAUCAGCGAUUUAGUUUUCUUGUAUUCUAAUCUGUUAACUAUCGAAGUUUAUGCGUGAAGAUUUUUUCACGACAUCAUCGAGCGUAUUAAACACCUAAGAUAGUCGGAAUUAACGAUUUAUGAUUCACGUACCAUUUGUGCUAACAAAAAAAAAAAACACUUUUAAUCCAACCUACACACAUCGUGGGAUUGUAAUUUAUAUUAUAUAAAUAUAUUUAACGAUAAAUAUAACGCAGAAUGAUUUGGAAUGCCGCACUGGGAAAUUUAUACCUGCGGGUAUAUAUUAUGCUCGUGAGUGAUGAAUGUAUAAAAGUCGUACGGAAAAAAUUACAAAGAAAUUUAACCGAUCAUUUGGUUGGUAAUAGAUUCGAGACCGAAAGUUGUUCUUAAGGAUUUUCAUAUCUUAAACAUGAAUAUCACAAUUUGAAAAAACAUUAUUAUACAAAGUUUCCCAAUAUAGACGUAUCCAAUCAUUAUCGUAUGCAUAAGAUAUACAUAAGUUAUGGAUUGAAAAUCUGUAAUAACGAUAAAAACGAAGCUUAGCCAUCCGUUGAUUAAACAAGAACACAUAUUUUAUAGAAUGUAAUGAGAAGUAAAUAAAUAUAUUAAAUUAUAUUAUAUACAAGUAUGGAUGAAGAAAAAAGAAGAAAGAUAUAUAUAUAUGCAUAUAUAUAUAUACACACAUAUAUAUAUAUAUGAAAUUCAUUUACCCGAAUAUCUGCGUCACUGUUCUAUAGAUGUACGUAAGAUUCGUUUCGAACAAUUCUAUUAUAAGAAAUUUGUUAUGUCGACGUGCAAGAAUGUACAGCUUCAAAGAAUAAUACUUGACACAAAUUGAGUUAUUAUCGAUCACCAUUCUGAAAAAAAAUUCGUAGGUGAAACUAAUAUCUGACCGGUUAACCGCGAUGCAGUUAGAAACCGCAAGAUUAAUUAUUGGCACGUAACCAAAUUAUAUGCGUAUAAGUCCAUCCGUUUGGAAAUAUCAUGUAAUUUGAUGUGGUGAUCAUCGCGUGUCUCGUAUUAAUCUGAUUGAUAUAAAUUUUGACGUAUAACAUUGUUGUAAAUACUCUCGUGAAUUUCUUAGGAUAUUAUUAUUAUUAUUAUUAUUACAACGGAAUACCAGUUCAAAUUUUAUGUUGACCGCAAUUAUAUAAAUACAUGUUGUGAAUAAAACUGUAUAGAUUUUAUCCAAAAGUUAUAUACAAUUACAUUAUAUUUUACUAUCAUAUAAUAGAAGAGUUUGUCGACAUACGUGUAUUAUAUUGCCGAUAUCGUAUGAUUAGGAUAUAAAAAAUUUCCUUAUACCAGCAAAAUCGAAAUGAGUUUGUGUACGAAGAUCUGAAAUUAACUGUUUUUUCAAUUGAAACAACUUUGCAUACAAUUACGCAAUCGUGUCGUCAAAAGGUAUUAACAUUGGCAAAACGUUUGUUUCAUUGUAAUUCGAAGUACUGUAUAGAUAUACCGUUGCGGCUUUCGUUAUUUGAAAAAAGGGUUGAAAAAAAAGAAAGUUAUUAAUAAAAUAUUUAAAAGCAAGAGCAGUUUUUGCCGAAGGCAUAUAUUUUGCCGCAAGUCACAAUAUGAAUAAAAUAUUAUUCAGAAGCUAGAGGUAUAUUAAGUUUACAAAAUAAUUAGAAAGUACAUAUUAUACAGAUAAAUAUAAUGAUAUUAAAUAAUUAUAUAUGUGUGUAAGGUUGAAUAUAUGCCGCAAUGUUACGUAUAUUAUUACGGUUAAGUGCUCCUCGUCCAAACUAUGAUUUUCCUGGUAAAACGAUUAAAAUUUGCUGCUUGAAUUUUAAUUUCUAUUUUCCACUAUUUUCAUCACUUGAAAUCCAAUUAUUGCUUUUUUUCUGCGAUGUUAACAUUACUGUGCACUAUAAUUAGAGGUGCUCGAAACGUACGAUUUUAAAAUAAAAAUAUCCAACACGCAUUGGUUGAAACAUAAAUAAAACGGCGUAGAGAUGUUCAAGUGCAGAUGUAAAGAUUUUUUUAAUUAUCUUAGAUAUUACUUGUUGUCAAGUGUAAAAAUAAAAAAAAAAAAAAAACUUCUAUAUUAUGCUAAGCAUAUCUUGUUAAAGGAGAGGAAAAAAUCAACCUCCGGCAAAAACACAUACAUAUCAUUAAAAAAAAAAAAAAGUUCAAACCUAUAAAGCCUAUAAAUUUACAUGUAAGAGAUAAAAUUUACGAGAAAAAAAAAACAACAAAAAUAAUUGUCAUACUUUACAUGUUAUUAUAAGAAUGUGAAUAUCAUUUCAUUGACAUAAGUGAACCGUGCAAAAG